Long non-coding RNA from Orcinus orca (killer whale), 1348 nucleotides. RefSeq lists it as uncharacterized. Lineage: Eukaryota; Metazoa; Chordata; Mammalia; Artiodactyla; Delphinidae. The record is from RefSeq and is a predicted model, not a curated record. The transcript is spliced from 6 exons.
CUUCCCGGCCCCGCCCCCCGGGCCUCAGGCCGCAGGGUGGCGAGCGCCUCGGCAGUUGGGCCCGCGCGGGGGGGCGGUGCCGGGAGGGCGCCGCCGAGCGCCCAGGCCCCGCUAGCCUCCGCUGCCUCCCGCCUCCUGCCUUCGACCCCGGGGUCCAGACCCGCGUCCCCACCGGCCCUAUGCGCCGCUUCUCACGGGACCCUCACCUCUAACGGGAUAGCAUUCAAUCCAGAGGGUUGGUGUGAGGAUAAAUAAGUUAAUGCUUGUGAAGCCCACGGAACAGUGCUGGAGACCUAGUUAACUCCUACCCAUCAAUUAAGAUCACUCUGCGCAGGAAGCUUCCUCGGAUCCCUUCUCUUCCAUCCUCACCGCAGAAUGGGCUAAAUGCCUCUCGCCUUGCCCUCCCCGCAGCCUGGAGAGCAUUGCCCUUGCUCGAUCGCAUAUGUAUCCUUUGUGUCUGUGUCUGCCACCGGAUGAUAAGCUCAGAAGGGAUCGAACCUGCACCCCCUGCACUGGAAGCACAGAGUCUUAACCAGUGGACCACCAGGGAAGUCCUAAGAUUCUGUGAUUCUAUCACCUUCAGGGCCUAAGUACUUAAGGACACAGUCAAGAACCUGAGACAUAGAAAGAGAAAGGCCUUCCUGAUGGAGCAUAUGCAAAGGGACUGAAGGACCCCCAGUGAAGUGGCUAGAAGAUUUUUCAGAACUAUACUAUCCCACAAGUCUGUCUACCGACUUCACAAGGAAGAUCCUUCAUGAGGUUCGUCUCAGCUCCUGUGAUGGACAGACUCUUGAAGAGGUCACCCACCAUCCUGCUGGCAUUCAUGACUUCAUGUAAUUCCCUCCCCUUGAGUGUGGGCAGGGCCGGCGACUUGCUUCUAACCAAUAGAAUAUGGCGAAGGUGAUCAGACUGAUGGCAGGCAUGUUAUUACAUAAGUGAUUACAUAGUUACAUGACAAAAUUAUAGCACCCAUCUUGCUGGAGUCUCUCUCAUACUCACUCCCUGGUUGGCUCUGAAGAAGCAAGCUGCCAUGUUGGGGGAUGCCUAUUUUGGGGGACCCAUGUGACGAACUGCAGGCAACUCUAGGAGCUGAGGGGGCAACCUCCAACUGACAGCCUGUAAGAAAGUGACAGUCCUACAACUGCAAGGAACCGAAUUCUGCCAACAACCUGAGUGAGUGUGGAAACAGAUCCUUCCCCAGGUGAGCCUCAGAUGAGACUGCAGCCCUGGCCAACACCUUGACUGCAGUGUUGUGGGACUCUAGACAGAGAACUCAGCUAAGCUGGGCUUGGAUUCCUGACCCAUAGAACCUGUGGGGUAAUAAAUAUGUGUUGUUUUAAGCCUGUAA